AUUCCAGGUUCAUCUUUUAACUAUAGAAAAUUCCAUAAGAAGAACCUAAUAAUCCCCCGGGGUCAUCCAGAACCACUGAACACAUACCCUGUGUUCUAAAUAUAAUCCUUUACAUUUUUCCUUAGAGGAAUACUAAUCACAUGUGUGGGCCAUAUGUUGCCGUUUAAUAUCUCCCCAAUCAGCAAGAAAUCUCCUCAGAUUUUUCACAGGAUCCCUGAGGAACCAGAAAUAGACAGCAGGAGAAUCCAGUUUGAAUGAGAAACGUGUGUUUCAAAACAACCGUCAAGGAAUUUACGUCGUCAAACCCAUUUCAAAGAUGAGAGACAGUAAGGCAUGAAGAGAUCAACUGGCCAUCGCCUACAAUGUGUUGUUUCUUGUUUUGGAGGAAGCCAGUAUCCAGGUCGCAAAGACACUCAAGCAGCCCCACAGAGAGGCCCGAGUGGAGAGCACUGACCUGCCAGUCACGUGAGGGAGUCACGUUAGAAGUAAACCCUUCAGACCCAGCCAAGCCGUCAGACCGCUGCAGUGCAGCUGAUAUCUGGCUGUAACCUUGUGAGACAUCCUGAGCCAGAACAACCCAGCCAAGCCACUCCAGAAUUCCCAAGACGCAGAAACUGUGAGGUCACGGGUGAUUGCUGUUGCUUUAAAUAAACCACUACCUUUAUAAACAUAUAAGCACCUUCUAUAUAUUGUUGUAUUUAAUCCUUACCACAGUCUUAUGAGGCAGAUACCA
This is a long non-coding RNA of Neofelis nebulosa (Clouded leopard), 733 nucleotides long. RefSeq lists it as uncharacterized. Lineage: Eukaryota; Metazoa; Chordata; Mammalia; Carnivora; Felidae. The record is from RefSeq and is a predicted model, not a curated record. The transcript has 3 exons.